This 69-nucleotide transfer RNA is filed under the name human gut metagenome. It matches the Rfam family "tRNA", at positions 5 to 66 of the family's 71-position model. Rfam says of the family: Transfer RNA (tRNA) molecules are approximately 80 nucleotides in length. Their secondary structure includes four short double-helical elements and three loops (D, anti-codon, and T loops). Further hydrogen bonds mediate the characteristic L-shaped molecular structure. tRNAs have two regions of fundamental functional importance: the anti-codon, which is responsible for specific mRNA codon recognition, and the 3' end, to which the tRNAs corresponding amino acid is attached (by aminoacyl-tRNA synthetases). tRNAs cope with the degeneracy of the genetic code in two manners: having more than one tRNA (with a specific anti-codon) for a particular amino acid; and 'wobble' base-pairing, i.e. permitting non-standard base-pairing at the 3rd anti-codon position. The record is from RNAcentral.
CAAUAGCUUAGUUGGAUAGAGUACUCGGCUACGAACCGAGAGGUCGGGGGUUCGAAUCCCUCUUGGUGC